This 484-nucleotide ribosomal RNA is filed under the name uncultured bacterium. RNAcentral's name for it is "partial 16S ribosomal RNA". It matches the Rfam family "Bacterial small subunit ribosomal RNA", at positions 30 to 507 of the family's 1533-position model. The record is from RNAcentral.
AUUGAACGCUGGCGGCAGGCCUAACACAUGCAAGUCGAGCGGAUGAAGGGAGCUUGCUCCUGGAUUCAGCGGCGGACGGGUGAGUAAUGCCUAGGAAUCUGCCUGGUAGUGGGGGAUAACGUCCGGAAACGGGCGCUAAUACCGCAUACGUCCUGAGGGAGAAAGUGGGGGAUCUUCGGACCUCACGCUAUCAGAUGAGCCUAGGUCGGAUUAGCUAGUUGGUGGGGUAAAGGCCUACCAAGGCGACGAUCCGUAACUGGUCUGAGAGGAUGAUCAGUCACACUGGAACGGAGACACGGUCCAGACUCCUACGGGAGGCAGCAGUGGGGAAUAGUGGACAAUGGGCGAAAGCCUGAUCCAGCCAGGCCGCGUGUGUGAAGAAGGUCUUCGGAUUGUAAAGCACUUUAAGUUGGGAGGAAGGGCAGUAAGUUAAUACCUUGCUGUUUUGACGUUACCAACAGAAUAAGCACCGGCUAACUUCGUG